Molecule: long non-coding RNA, 461 nt
Organism: Rhipicephalus sanguineus (brown dog tick)
Lineage: Eukaryota; Metazoa; Arthropoda; Arachnida; Ixodida; Ixodidae
Exons: 3
Source: RefSeq, a predicted model, not a curated record
AGUUCCUCCGGCGCCGAGCAAGAAAAAGCGCGGGAAGAAGGUUCCCCCGGCGACGGCCGGCCCACCGACCUACAUAGCGCGUCUUUCGCCGGCCUGCUCGUUAUAAGAAACCAGUCUGCCGGUUGCGUCGGCGUACUCGAGCGAACACCACUGCCAACUCCUCCUCGUCCAUCUUCAGCGUCGACGUCCAUCCCGGCUUAGCGGACGAGUAGCGCGGCGCGUCGGCACUCGAGCCACAGGUGCCGCAAUUCGGUCAAGCGGGAGGCGAGCUUCCUCGGACACCGUGCGGUGACGACCGUCCCAAAGCCAGCGAGGUGAACGGAGAGGAGGAGCAGGAAAGAGAGUGUCGUCGGGCGGCCGGCUUUCCCAAGGCGAUCGCCAUGGGCCAUCAUGCCGCCGGGGUCACAGGCCUCGUGAUCCUGUUCUUGGUGCUAACCAACAGUCCUGCUGCCCAAGGGGAA